Molecule: ribosomal RNA, 2364 nt
Filed under: Triticum aestivum (bread wheat)
Lineage: Eukaryota; Viridiplantae; Streptophyta; Magnoliopsida; Poales; Poaceae
Description: partial small subunit ribosomal RNA
Source: RNAcentral
AUGACGGUGACACCGCAGAUCACGGUGAGCGACGGGAGGCUGGCGGUGCGCGGCCGGACGGUGCUCUCCGGCGUGCCGGACAACGUUACCGCGGCGCACGCUUCCGGGGCCGGGCUCGUCGACGGGGCCUUCGUCGGCGCCACGGCCGGCGAGGCCAAGAGCCACCACGUCUUCACCUUCGGGACUCUCCGCGACUGCCGAUUCAUGUGCCUGUUCCGGUUCAAGCUGUGGUGGAUGACGCAGCGGAUGGGCACCUCCGGCCGCGACGUCCCGCUGGAGACCCAAUUCAUCCUCAUCGAGGUCCCUGCCGCCGCCGGCAACGACGACGGCGACAGCGAGCCGGUGUACCUGGUGAUGCUGCCGCUGCUGGAGGGGCAGUUCCGAACGGUGCUCCAGGGCAACGACCAAGACCAGCUCCAGAUCUGCAUCGAGAGCGGGGACAAAGCGGUGCAGACGGAGCAGGGCAUGAACAGCGUGUACAUCCACGCCGGCACCAACCCCUUCGACACCAUCACCCAGGCCGUCAAGGCCGUUGAGAAGCACAUGCAGACGUUCCACCACAGGGAGAAGAAAAAGGUGCCGUCGUUUGUGGACUGGUUCGGGUGGUGCACGUGGGACGCCUUCUACACGGACGUGACGGCCGACGGCGUCAAGCAGGGGCUCCGCAGCCUGGCGGAGGGUGGCGCGCCGCCGCGGUUCCUCAUCAUUGACGACGGCUGGCAGCAGAUCGGCAGCGAGAACAAGGAAGACCCGAGCGUCGCCGUCCAGGAAGGGGCGCAGUUCGCGAGCAGGCUCACCGGCAUCAAGGAGAACACCAAGUUCCAGAGCGAGCAGCAGGAGGAGACCCCGGGGCUGAAGCGGCUGGUGGAGGAGACCAAGAAGGAGCACGGCGUCAAGAGCGUCUACGUCUGGCACGCCAUGGCCGGCUACUGGGGCGGCGUCAAGCCGUCGGCGGCCGGGAUGGAGCACUACGAGUCCGCGCUGGCCUACCCGGUGCAGUCGCCGGGCGUCACCGGCAACCAGCCCGACAUCGUCAUGGACUCGCUCUCCGUGCUCGGCCUCGGCCUCGUGCACCCGCGCAAGGUCUACAGCUUCUACGACGAGCUCCACGCCUACCUGGCCGCCUGCGGCGUCGACGGCGUCAAGGUGGACGUGCAGAACAUCGUGGAGACCCUCGGCGCCGGCCACGGCGGCCGCGUCGCGCUCACACGCGCCUACCACCGCGCGCUCGAGGCCUCCGUCGCCCGCAACUUCCCCGACAACGGAUGCAUCUCCUGCAUGUGCCACAACACCGACAUGCUCUACAGCGCCAAGCAGACCGCCGUCGUGCGCGCCUCCGACGACUUCUACCCGCGCGACCCGGCGUCGCACACCGUCCACAUCUCCUCCGUCGCUUACAACACGCUCUUCCUCGGCGAGUUCAUGCAGCCCGACUGGGACAUGUUCCAUAGCCUGCACCCGGCGGCGGAGUACCACGGCGCGGCGAGGGCCAUCGGCGGCUGCCCCAUUUAUGUCAGCGACAAGCCAGGGAACCACAACUUCGACCUUCUCAAGAAGCUGGUGCUCCCCGACGGCUCCGUGCUCCGCGCACAGCUCCCCGGCAGGCCCACGCGCGACUGCCUCUUCUCCGACCCGGCGCGCGACGGUGCCAGGUGCUCACCAUCAUCCUUCAAAGGAAUCCUCCCUCUCUCUGACGUGAAUGAAACUCUCCCAGAUUCCAUCUCAGUGCUGAUAUGUGAUCCCUUGCUUUUCUCUCUCAGCUUGCUCAAGAUAUGGAACAUGAACAAGUGCGCCGGCGUGGUGGGGGUGUUCAACUGCCAGGGCGCGGGGUGGUGUCGCGUCGUCAAAAAGACAAGGAUCCACGACGAGGCGCCCGGGACGCUCACCGGCUCGGUGCGCGCCGAGGACGUGGAGGGCAUCACCCAGGCCACCGGCACCGACGACUGCACCGGCGACGCCGUGGUGUACACGCACCGGGCGGGGGAGCUCGUGCGGCUGCCCCGGGGCGCCACCCUGCCGGUGACGCUCAAGAGGCUCGAAUACGAGCUGUUCCACGUGUGCCCCGUCCGCGCCGUGGCGCCGGACAUCUCGUUCGCGCCCAUCGGGUUGCUCCACAUGUUCAAUGCCGGCGGUGCCGUCGAGGAGUGCGUCGUCAGGACGAACGAGGACGACAAGGCCGUUGUGGCGCUCAGGGUGCGCGGCUGCGGCCGGUUCGGCGCCUACUGCUCGCGGAGGCCGGCGAAAUGCUCCCUCGACUCGGCUGACGUGGAGUUCGGCUACGACGCCGACACGGGGCUCGUCACGGUCGACGUGCCGGUCCCGGAGGAGGAGAUGUACCGGUGGACGCUGGAGAUUCGGGUCUAG